RNAcentral lists this ribosomal RNA (48 nucleotides) under Diaporthe sp. CMT71. Its description in RNAcentral is "partial 28S ribosomal RNA". Lineage: Eukaryota; Fungi; Ascomycota; Sordariomycetes; Diaporthales; Diaporthaceae. The record is from RNAcentral.
UUUGACCUCGGAUCAGGUAGGAAUACCCGCUGAACUUAAGCAUACAAA